AUUGAACGCUGGCGGCAGGCCUAACACAUGCAAGUAGAGCGGAACGGCGGACGGGUGAGUAAUGCAUAGGCAUCUGCAUGGUAGUGGGGGAUAACGUCCGGAAACGGGCGCUAAUACCCCAUACUCUCAGCUUAGCAUAUGUCGGAUUAGCUAGUUGGUGGGGUAACGGCCUACCAAGACGAAGAUCAGUAACUGGUCUGAGGGGCUGAGCAGUCACACUGGAACUGAGACACGGUCCAGCCUCCUACGGGAGGCAGCAGUGGGGAAUAUUGGACAAUGGGCGACAGCCUGAUCCAGCCAUGCCGCGGGUGUGAAGAAGGUCUUCGGAUUGUAAAGCACUUUAAGUUGGGAGGCGUUACCCACAGAAUAAGCACCGGCUAACUUCGUGCCAGCAGCCGCGGUAAUUC
Molecule: ribosomal RNA, 407 nt
Filed under: uncultured bacterium
Lineage: Bacteria
Description: partial 16S ribosomal RNA
Rfam family: Bacterial small subunit ribosomal RNA
Source: RNAcentral